This 73-nucleotide transfer RNA is filed under the name Micrococcales bacterium 73-13. RNAcentral's name for it is "tRNA-Leu". It matches the Rfam family "tRNA". Rfam says of the family: Transfer RNA (tRNA) molecules are approximately 80 nucleotides in length. Their secondary structure includes four short double-helical elements and three loops (D, anti-codon, and T loops). Lineage: Bacteria; Bacillati; Actinomycetota; Actinomycetes; Micrococcales. The record is from RNAcentral.
GCCCCGGUAGCCCAACGGCAGAGGCAGGCGGCUUAAACCCGCUCCAGUCUCGGUUCGAGUCCGAGUCGGGGCA